RNAcentral lists this ribosomal RNA (253 nucleotides) under uncultured bacterium. RNAcentral's name for it is "partial 16S ribosomal RNA". It matches the Rfam family "Bacterial small subunit ribosomal RNA", at positions 524 to 776 of the family's 1533-position model. The record is from RNAcentral.
UACGUAGGGUGCAAGCGUUAAUCGGAAUUACUGGGCGUAAAGCGUGCGCAGGCGGUGAUGUAAGACAGAUGUGAAAUCCCCGGGCUCAACCUGGGAACUGCAUUUGUGACUGCAUCGCUGGAGUGCGGCAGAGGGGGAUGGAAUUCCGCGUGUAGCAGUGAAAUGCGUAGAUAUGCGGAGGUACACCGAUGGCGAAGGCAAUCCCCUGGGCCUGCACUGACGCUCAUGCACGAAAGCGUGGGGAGCAAACAGG